Molecule: ribosomal RNA, 513 nt
Filed under: Ehrlichia canis
Lineage: Bacteria; Pseudomonadati; Pseudomonadota; Alphaproteobacteria; Rickettsiales; Anaplasmataceae
Description: bacterial SSU rRNA
Rfam family: Bacterial small subunit ribosomal RNA
Source: RNAcentral
AAUGCGUAGGAAUCUACCUAGUAGUACGGAAUAGCCAUUAGAAAUGGUGGGUAAUACUGUAUAAUCCCCGAGGGGGAAAGAUUUAUCGCUAUUAGAUGAGCCUACGUUAGAUUAGCUAGUUGGUGAGGUAAUGGCUUACCAAGGCUAUGAUCUAUAGCUGGUCUGAGAGGACGAUCAGCCACACUGGAACUGAGAUACGGUCCAGACUCCUACGGGAGGCAGCAGUGGGGAAUAUUGGACAAUGGGCGAAAGCCUGAUCCAGCUAUGCCGCGUGAGUGAAGAAGGCCUUCGGGUUGUAAAACUCUUUCAAUAGGGAAGAUAAUGACGGUACCUAUAGAAGAAGUCCCGGCAAACUCUGUGCCAGCAGCCGCGGUAAUACGGAGGGGGCAAGCGUUGUUCGGAAUUAUUGGGCGUAAAGGGCACGUAGGUGGACUAGUAAGUUAAAAGUGAAAUACCAAAGCUUAACUUUGGAGCGGCUUUUAAUACUGCUAGACUAGAGGUCGAAAGAGGAUA